This 419-nucleotide unclassified non-coding RNA is filed under the name fungal sp. OTU_027. RNAcentral's name for it is "sequence contains ITS1, 5.8S rRNA gene and ITS2". The stretch from base 124 to 277 matches the Rfam family "5.8S ribosomal RNA". The record is from RNAcentral. Lineage: Eukaryota; Fungi.
UCUACCUUACUUUGUUGCUUUGGCAGGCCCGUCUCGCGACCGCCGGCAGCUGCUGGCCCGUGCCUGCCAGAGGACCACAAACUCUGAUUAUCCUGCCGUCUGAGUAACACACAAAUACGUUAAAACUUUCAACAACGGAUCUCUUGGUUCUGGCAUCGAUGAAGAACGCAGCGAAAUGCGAUAAGUAAUGUGAAUUGCAGAAUUCAGUGAAUCAUCGAAUCUUUGAACGCACAUUGCGCCCUCUGGUAUUCUGGGGGGCAUGCCUGUUCGAGCGUCAUUACAACCCUCAAGCCCUGCUUGGUGUUGGGCGGUACCGCGUGCGGUACGCCUCAAACGUAGUGGCGGCGCCACCCAGCUUCAAGCGUAGUAACACUCUCGCUCUGGAGAUGGUUGCGCUCCCGCCAGCAACCCUCACUUUC